This 301-nucleotide ribosomal RNA is filed under the name uncultured bacterium. Its description in RNAcentral is "partial 16S ribosomal RNA". It matches the Rfam family "Bacterial small subunit ribosomal RNA", at positions 509 to 807 of the family's 1533-position model. The record is from RNAcentral.
CAGCCGCCGCGGGAAUACGUAGGUGGCAAGCGUUGUCCGGAAUUAUAGGGCGUAAAGGGCUCGCAGGCGGUUUCUUAAGUCUGAUGUGAAAGCCCCCGGCUCAACCGGGGAGGGUCAUUGGAAACUGGGAAACUUGAGUGCAGAAGAGGAGAGUGGAAUUCCACGUGUAGCGGUGAAAUGCGUAGAGAUGUGGAGGAAGACCAGUGGCGAAGGCGACUCUCUGGUCUGUAACUGACGCUGAGGAGCGAAAGCGUGGGGAGCGAACAGGAUUAGAGACCCCCGUAGUCCCUGUCUCUUAUAC